Non-coding RNA from Ciona intestinalis (vase tunicate), 2152 nucleotides. NCBI's taxonomy places the organism in Eukaryota, Metazoa, Chordata, Ascidiacea, Phlebobranchia, Cionidae. The record is from RefSeq and is a predicted model, not a curated record.
UGAGCGGUAAGUUUGUCGUAAUAGGCGGAGGAACAUGUAUUUAACACGUGAUCAAAUGGCGCGACCAUCCGCAGUUCCUCGUGGCUUACUUCAUUUGAAAGAAGCUGUCACCGUAGUUGUUGGGUUUUCUGCGCUAUAAAGUGAAAUCGUUACAAAAAGAAAAUGACCGACUUACCAGUUGAUUCGAAAUAUUUGCCCGAAUUAAUGGCCGAGAAAGAUAGCAUUGACCCUUCGUUUGUUCAUGCUGUUCGUUUAAUAUCUUCUGAAAUUGAAAAGAUUAAAAACCCACCCCCACCUGCCAAACCAUCAAACAAUUCCAAUGACCCGAAAAUGUUCAAUAUUUACGACGACAAAUACCCCAAAGUGGAAUGCAAUAUUCGAAUCCCUGUUAACGAGUUUCCUCGUGUCAAUUUUAUCGGGCGAUUAAUCGGACCUGGGGGUUCAACGUUAAAGGGAAUCCAGGAAGUCACAAAUACUAGAAUCGCGAUUCUAGGCAAAGGGUCAUUACGGGAUAAGAAAAAGGCUGAAGAAUUAGCAAACAGCAGCGAUGUAAAAUACAACCAUCUAAAAUAUCCUCUCCAUGUAAGGAUUAGUGCAAUAGGAUCUGUUGAUCAGGCUUACAUGAGCAUCGGGCGAGCAUGUUCCGAGGUUUCCAAACUCCUCAUGGUAGAAGAUGAGGAUGAAUACAUCGCGGCUGGAGCAGCAGCCAUGUUGCAAGCAAGAGGAGGAGCAGUUGGAGUUGGAGGAGGGAUGCGCGGAGCAGGAAGAGGAGCUCCACGUGGUGUUCGAGGUGGAGGAAGAGGGGCUCCUCGUGGAUCACCAUCUGGAAGUAGAGGAUCAUCAAGGGGUGGAAGAGGAGCACGGGGUGGAACACGAGGUGGCAUGAGAGGUGCAGCCAGGGGUGCGGUAGCUUCAAGAUUUCCAAAGGCACAAAUUCAAGCUGCUGAUUCUUAUGUUAAUCAGGCAUUAGAAUACGCAGAGGCUGGUUAUGACGUAUACAGUGAAUAUGCUGAAGCUGCUGCUUAUGAUCCGUAUGGUCAAGCAACUGAAGAAGCAUAUAAUGAAUCAUAUGCUGAUGGUGCGUAUGGUGUAACAGAUUCCUACGAUGCAUAUACCUUUGCUGAUUAUGAAUCUUAUGGAAAUGGGGCAGAGUCGUACGUGCCAGCCAAACCAGCAUACCGGGGUAAAAUACGGGGGGGUGCUCGUGGUAGAGGGGCAGGAAAGCCAUAUUGAGACUUGCCUUGAUGAUUCAGGUUUUCUCAACCAAGCAGCAAAACAUACAAAAUUAAUGCUAGCAGUUCUGUAGAGAAAGAAACUGCCCAUCCAUGCAAGUGAGAAAGUUCAAGUUCAAGCUUAUUGGGACUCGAAGGUAACUGUAAUUUAAAAAACUAAAAAUAAAAAAUAACCUGUGUGUUCUUCUGUCUAAUUUUUAAAAAAAAUUGUGUUCUAUUAUUUUCUGCAUCAUCUGAUAACCAAAAACUUGUUUCAUUAAGUUUUUUGGGCACAUUGAUGCCAUAAAGAGUGAGAGUGACAAAUUAGGGGGCAUUUUAUGUUUCCUCAUAUCGUCUUUCAUACAUUUAAUUAAUUUGUCUCCUUUUAUGCUAAUAUGGGUUUAAAAGUUAAAUUGUAGCUGUUUAAUCUAGAAACUAAUUUCAAAUUUACGCUGAUUUUUAAAGUAAUAUUAGAAAUGACAUUUUCUGAUUUCCAGAUUUGAGCGGCAGAAACCACAAGAAACAAGUGGUAUAAUAUUGAAGUUUGAUUUUGGACAGAGAAUCGAAAUCUAGAAUGAUAGCAGAGCUAGAAAUGAGAAACUUCAAAGCAAGUUUAAUAUAUGGAUAGAUGCAAUCUGUCUCCAUUUUGAUGUCACUAUAAUUAAAAGACAGAAUCAGUUCUUUAAGUGAAAUUUAUUUAUGAAAACACUUGAAAAAUGUUUUCCUUCUUUAGUUCAAAGAUUUUCUGUCACGUGAUGGUGAUUUCUCUUUGUUAAAGAUAUGAGCAUCUGUGUUCGCAGGAUUGUUUGAAAUAAAAAUGUUUUAUAAUCUUCAAAGGUAAAACUUCUCGGUGAUAAAAGAAAUACACUGUACAUGAAAAGCCAAUUUUAUUGACAUUAAAAUGUGCAACUUUUUGUUACUGAAUAAAAUUGCGCAAAAUA